GACGAACGCUGGCGGCGUGCUUAACACAUGCAAGUCGAACGAAGCUUGAUUGCGGAUUCUUCGGAUGAAGUAUGAUAUGACUGAGUGGCGGACGGGUGAGUAACGCGUGAGUAACCUGCCCUUCAGAGGGGGAUAGCGUUUGGAAACGAACGGUAAUACCGCAUAAUGUAUUUUGACCGCAUGAUCGAAAUACCAAAGAUUUAUCGCUGAAGGAUGGACUCGCGUCUGAUUAGGUAGUUGGUGGGGUAACGGCCUACCAAGCCGACGAUCAGUAGCCGGACUGAGAGGUUGAUCGGCCACAUUGGGACUGAGACACGGCCCAGACUCCUACGGGAGGCAGCAGUGGGGAAGAUUGCACAAUGGGCGCAAGCCUGAUGCAGCAACGCCGCGUGAAGGAAGACGGUUUUCGGAUUGUAAACUUCUGUUCUUAGGGAAGAAUAAUGACGGUAGCUAAGGAGCAAGCCACGGCUAACUACGUG
This 479-nucleotide ribosomal RNA is filed under the name uncultured bacterium. RNAcentral describes it as "partial 16S ribosomal RNA". It matches the Rfam family "Bacterial small subunit ribosomal RNA", at positions 28 to 507 of the family's 1533-position model. The record is from RNAcentral.